GAUGAACGCUGGCGGCGUGCCUAAUACAUGCAAGUCGAGCGAAUGGAUUAAGAGCUUGCUCUUAUGAAGUUAGCGGCGGACGGGUGAGUAACACGUGGGUAACCUGCCCAUAAGACUAGGAUAACUCCGGGAAACCGGGGCUAAUACCGGAUAACAUUUUGAACCGCAUGGUUCGAAAUUGAAAGGCGGCUUCGGCUGUCACUUAUGGAUGGACCCGCGUCGCAUUAGCUAGUUGGUGAGGUAACGGCUAACAAAGGCAACGAUGCGUAGCCGACCUGAGAGGGUGAUCGGCCACACUGGGACUGAGACACGGCCCAGACUCCUACGGGAGGCAGCAGUAGGGAAUCUUCCGCAAUGGACGAAAGUCUGACGGAGCAACGCCGCGUGAGUGAUGAAGGCUUUCGGGUCGUAAAACUCUGCUGUUAGGGAAGAACAAGUGCUAGUUGAAUAAGCUGGCACCUUGACGGUACCUAACCAGAAAGCCACGGCUAACUACGUGCCAGCAGCCGCCGUAA
This 515-nucleotide ribosomal RNA is filed under the name uncultured bacterium. RNAcentral describes it as "partial 16S ribosomal RNA". It matches the Rfam family "Bacterial small subunit ribosomal RNA", at positions 28 to 523 of the family's 1533-position model. The record is from RNAcentral.